The sequence is a small nuclear RNA, 146 nucleotides long. Its record names the gene U1. It matches the Rfam family "U1 spliceosomal RNA". From Rfam's summary of the family: U1 is a small nuclear RNA (snRNA) component of the spliceosome (involved in pre-mRNA splicing). The record is from Ensembl.
AAAUGUAAGGCGGUUCAUCCCAGGGCGGGGCUCAGCCAGUGCACUCCGGCUGUGCUGAGCCCUGCCAAUUCCCCAAAUGUGGGAAUCUCGACUGCAUAAUUUUUUUGGGGGCAGUGGUGGCCUAGCGGUUAAGGAAGCGGCCCCGU